GUUCCUCCCUCUGUGUCCUGGAGAGUAGAGAAGAGCAGCUCCACCAGUUCAGCUUCAACACAAACCAUGUUCCCUGCAUCUCUGCUGCUGCUGGCAGCUGCCUCCUGUGUACAGAGUUAUGAACUCUCUCAGCCAGCAUCUAUGACUGUCCUGCCAGGUCAACCACUGACCAUCUCCUGUAAGGUCUCAUAUUCAGUUACUAACACUUGGACAGCUUGGAUCCGAAAGCCUGCAGGGAAAACACUGGAGUGGAUUGGAAAUGUAUAUUCUGGAGACACAGAACACAAGGAUUCACUGAAGAACAAGUUCAGCCUCUCAGUAGACUCUAGCAGUAAUACUGUGUUUUUAAAAGGGCAGAACCUUCAGACUGAAGACUCAGCUGUGUAUUAUUGUGCCUACCCUCACAGUGAUACAAACCAGCACAAGAGCUGUACAAAAACCAAACUCUUGGGAUAUGCUCUGAAAAACAAGUUCAGUAUCCCCAGAGACACUUCCAGCAGCAAAGUGACUUUAACAGGACAGAGUCUGCAGACUGAAGACACAGCUGUGUGUUAUUGUGCUCGCUACCCACUGUGAUACAAACAGACACAG
This is a non-coding RNA of Oncorhynchus mykiss (rainbow trout), 591 nucleotides long. The record is from the annotation of a RefSeq genome assembly. Lineage: Eukaryota; Metazoa; Chordata; Actinopteri; Salmoniformes; Salmonidae.